GUCUAAAAUAAAAAACUCGUUAGAUAAAGAAGAAUAAUAUAAAUCCUCUGGAAUUAUGGACCAUCGUUAACAAAUAGAUGUCAAUUUGUUUUUGGAGCAAGGUCCGAGGAUGUAGAGAUCCUUGUGUUUGCUCAUACACUUGAAUCGCGAACUCUGAACGUUGGUAUAUCGGAAUCGCUAUAUUAUAUUAGGCAUUGAGGCUGCCAUUAAUUUAUUUUCAUUUUAUGCUUCGACCCUGACAGGUCUGCUGUAUAUACAACAUGACACAAAAUAAUGAAUGGAUCGAUUCAACGAAUUUAUAAAAAUAUCGAAAUGAAGCAUUUUUGAACGGGGUGCAAGGUCCGAGGAUAUCAUAUCCUUGUGUUUGCCUCCGAGUAGUAGUAGUGGAGUAACAACGAAGAAAAACAAACAAAACAAGGUCCUUCUACUAGGAAACUUCCAAGCCGACUAACAUUUGAACA
Molecule: small RNA, 461 nt
Filed under: Drosophila mojavensis
Lineage: Eukaryota; Metazoa; Arthropoda; Insecta; Diptera; Drosophilidae
Description: GI26994
Source: RNAcentral